AUUGGAUAGAAAAUAAACGCAAUGGUGGGCCCUACAAAUGUUUUAACGGUGAGAAUCAUUGUCCCACUGCUAUUUAUGGUGUGGUCUACUUAAGAUUUUUAUAUGAAUAAUUUUUGGUAUCAUGCUCUAAAAUGAUCUCAAAAAAUGUAUGAACGGUGUGGAUAUAAUAAAUACAUAAUUAUGUGGGCCAUGUAACUUUGAUCUCCUAUGGACCGUUCGUACAACUCGGAGCUGCAACGCUCGUCUUCGCACGACACGUACCCACACCAGCCAUGUCGCUGCGAAUCCGCUUCCCUCCGAAUUACUCAAAUUUUCUUAAAUUACCAAAUAGCCCUUCAACGGUUGAGGUCUGCAUUUAUAUACGAGUGGAGGUCUUUCUUCCUUGCCAAGAAAGCCAUCUCUCUAUUUCUCUUCUCUGAAAACCUCUCCCUUCUUCCCCCCCCUCUCUCUCUCUCUCUCUCUCUCUCUCUCAGAAAGCCUCUUUCCCUCUCUCAUCGCCAUUGAUGCAAGCGUACCGUAGGAGCGUAGCGCACCAGUCUCUGUUGAAGUCUUCGUGCGUUCUCGCCUCUCUCGGUAUUUGCACUUGACAUUCUUACCUCCUACUGCACAUGGUAUCAUAAAGGCCGAGGCCCCUCACUUACAUUAAGGUGUUCGAGUCUUUACAGCUACAUUCAUUUUCACCUUGAAAGCAAUGUAACUUGAUUUUGAACUCUGCAUUAAUAUCAAUGUCCAGUAAUGCUUGGUUACUCCUGCUUAAUUGCACUAGUAAUUGCAAUUUAACUUGAUAGUUCAUCCAAAUGCAUUUUGUAAAUCCAAAAUCAUGAUAUACUAAUUAAAUGAUUUUAAUUA
Molecule: long non-coding RNA, 849 nt
Organism: Magnolia sinica
Lineage: Eukaryota; Viridiplantae; Streptophyta; Magnoliopsida; Magnoliales; Magnoliaceae
Exons: 3
Source: RefSeq, a predicted model, not a curated record